RNAcentral lists this ribosomal RNA (484 nucleotides) under uncultured bacterium. RNAcentral's name for it is "partial 16S ribosomal RNA". It matches the Rfam family "Bacterial small subunit ribosomal RNA", at positions 28 to 507 of the family's 1533-position model. The record is from RNAcentral.
GAUUAACGCUAGCGGCAGGCAUAAUACAUGCAAGUUGAACGGCAGCACAGGUAGCAAUACUGGGUGGCGAGUGGCGCACGGGUGCGUAACACGUAUGCAACCUACCCUAUACAGGCGAAUAACCUUUAGAAAUGAGGGCUAAUACGCCGUAGUAUUACAGAUGGGCAUCUAUUUGUAAUUAAAGAUUUAUCGGUACAGGAUGGGCAUGCGUCCCAUUAGUUAGUUGGUAAGGUAACGGCUUACCAAGACGAUGAUGGGUAGGGGAUCUGAGAGGACUUACCCCCACACUGGUACUGAGACACGGACCAGACUCCUACGGGAGGCAGCAGUAAGGAAUAUUGGGCAAUGGCCGCGAGGCUGACCCAGCCAUGCCGCGUGCAGGAAGACGGCCUUAUGGGUUGUAAACUGCUUUUAUACGGGAAUAAUAGAGUGUACGCGUACAUUUAUGCAAGUAUCGUAUGAAUAAGCAUCGGCUAACUCCGUG